Molecule: ribosomal RNA, 392 nt
Filed under: uncultured bacterium
Lineage: Bacteria
Description: bacterial SSU rRNA
Rfam family: Bacterial small subunit ribosomal RNA
Source: RNAcentral
UAGGACCCCAGGGAAACCUGGAUUAAUACCGGAUGAGACGGGACCCGCGAAGGCGGGACCCGGGAAAGGCGCUGCGGCGACCGCCGGGGGAUGAGUCUGCGUCCCAUUAGGCUAGACGGCGGGGUGACGGCCACCGUGGCGACGAUGGGUAGCCGGCCUGAGAGGGUGGACGGCCACAUUGGAACUGAGACACGGUCCAGACUCCUACGGGAGGCAGCAGCUAAGAAUCUUCCGCAAUGGGCGGAAGCCUGACGGAGCGACGCCCGCGUGAACGAAGAAGGCCGUGAGGUUGUAAAGUUCUUUUCGGGAGGGGGAACAACCGUGGCAGGGAAUGGCCGCGGGAUGACGUGAAUCCCGGAAUAAGCCCCGGCUAACUACGUGCCAGCCGCAGC